Molecule: ribosomal RNA, 216 nt
Filed under: Glomeromycotina sp.
Lineage: Eukaryota; Fungi; Glomeromycota
Description: partial small subunit ribosomal RNA
Rfam family: Eukaryotic small subunit ribosomal RNA (bases 40-216)
Source: RNAcentral
GGGUCAGUAGGUUGGUCGUGCCACCGGUACGUACUGGUCUCACUGAUUCCUCCUUCCUGAAGAACCGUAAUGCCGUUAAUUUGGUGUUGCGGGGAAACAGGACUGUUACUUUGAAAAAAUUAGAGUGUUUAAAGCAAGCUGACGCUUGAAUACAUUAGCAUGGAAUAAUGAAAUAGGACGAUCGAUCCUAUUUUGUUGGUUUCUAGGAUUGACGUA